GGGCCCGCACAAGCGGUGGAGUAUGUGGUUUAAUUCGAUGCAACGCGAAGAACCUUACCAGGGUUUGACAUCCUGCGAAUCUCUUGGAAACAGGAGAGUGCCUUCGGGAACGCAGUGACAGGUGGUGCAUGGCUGUCGUCAGCUCGUGUCGUGAGAUGUUGGGUUAAGUCCCGCAACGAGCGCAACCCACGUCUUUAGUUGCCAGCAUUUAGUUGGGCACUCUAGAGAGACUGCCGGUGAUAAACCGGAGGAAGGUGAGGACGACGUCAAGUCAGCAUGCCCCUUACGCCCUGGGCUACACACGUACUACAAUGGCCGAGACAAAGAGUCGCAAGUUUGCAAAGACAAGCCAAUCUCAUAAACUCGGUCUCAGUUCGGAUUGCAGGCUGCAACUCGCCUGCAUGAAGUUGGAAUCGCUAG
RNAcentral lists this ribosomal RNA (420 nucleotides) under uncultured bacterium. RNAcentral's name for it is "bacterial SSU rRNA". It matches the Rfam family "Bacterial small subunit ribosomal RNA", at positions 917 to 1338 of the family's 1533-position model. The record is from RNAcentral.